UAAAAACAUUCAUUAAUUUGAUAAUCACUUCAUCUCAGAUCAAUUGAAAGACUGAGAGGAAAUGCUUCUUCAGCAAAUUUCCCACAUUUGCAAAAUCUUUACAGACAUUUUGAGUAUAAAGUGCAUCCUGUCUUCUACAGCAUUUUUUAAAGUCUAGGGACAUGUGUGUAUUGGUGUGUAUGUGUAUGUGUGUCCUUUGCAGGUAAAGGUAGCCCUGAUGGUGGGGAAACAGAGUGGGGAGGAAAUGGGGGAAGUGGUUUUUCCACUGUCGGCACUGAUGUGGCCAUCCUUUGAGAGCAGAAGAAGCGGAGAGGAAGAAAUGUGCUUUGCCAGCAAAAGAAAAAGGAAAAGGCAGCAUCUGGCGCUGAAGUGCAGUUUCAGCAGGGAGCUGGUGGCAUUCACAGAAGUUCAGACCGCUUCACAGAAACGUAUGAGGGCAGCUUAUCUGGCAGGCGCACGCACACACACACACACACACACACACACACACACACACACACGGAGCAGGUUGAUAGUGCUGACAGCAGGGGAGCAUCGCUGGCGUCUCUGCUGUGUGUGGAGCAGCUCUGCCGAGGCUUCAGGGUGGCCUCGCUGUGCACCUCAGAGACUGGUUAGUUAGACAUCUCUGUGUCUGCGUGUGUGGCAUUCGGUGACUGAUGGCAGGUCCUGGCUGCAGGCUGCUCCGGCUCGCUUGUGUCACACUUGCUCUGACAGCCAACUGUGCUGCAGUGACAGCAGCCGCUCAGAGAGUCACAGCUGUUACAGCAACUACAGCCACUGAUACGGAACGUGCUCCACACAGCUCGCGGGUGGCUGCCGUGCUGGCACCAUGUAUGGUCGCCUUGGCGAUAGUGGUGAUGCUGGGGUUGGCGCUUGCUGCAGCCAAACUGCGUGAGAGGCGGCAGACGGAGGGAGGUUUCAGCCCGCGGCAGCUCGAGGCUCCUGGUGGUCGCAACCCACCUGCUGAGCUGGGAAACAUAUCCAUCAGCACGCUGGCAGCACGCGUGGAGAGCCUGGUGUAGUGUGAAGGAGUCAGGGGAGGAAAAAGUGUGUGAGGAAAAAUGGGUGUGGAAAAAAAACUGACCUCUGAAGGUUUGACCUCCAACCUCUUGCUGUCCAUCAGUUUGGCGUCCAUCAUCCUGCUGCUGGUGCUGAUCUUGACCUCUGUUGGCUUAGUGGUGGCACUAAAUCGGCGCGCCACACACGGCGCGUACAGUCCCAGCCGGCAGGAGAAGGACGGAUCCCGGGUGGAGAUGUGGAGCAUCACACAGCCGCCGCCGAUGGAGAGACUCAUAUGAGAUGCAGGUGUUUUGUUUUUUUUGGAGGAUGUUAAUCUGCUGACUGUUGGUAAUCAGAGAAAUUAAACCAUGAGAUUAAUCUAAUAGCAGCAGAUGGAUCAGACCCUGCUGGCUGCAUGGAAAUGUUUUACACUGCUGCUUUCUUUCAUGCAAUCCCUUUUAUCCAACUUCCUGUGUGUGCUGUAGGAAAAAUCACAACUUCACAGUUUCUGAAAAUCUGCAAGACAGCUUUAAGUACACAAACUUUUGAAACUAGAAAAAAACAGAAAAUGUAUAUUUAAGUUGAUGAUAUUCCUCCUAUUUGUGUGUUUUUAAGAAUUUUAAGUAUUCAUGAUUUUGUUACAACCACAAACUUCAAUGUAUUUUAUUGGUAUUUAAUGCAAUAAAUUGGUUACACUUGUUUUUUGAGAGGUAUCAGGGGCUGAAUACAUAUGCACAUCACAAUCAGUACAUUUUGUAGACGUACCAGAAAUAGUCAUUUAUCUCGUUAAUGAUGUUAGACUGCUUUUAUUUUGAACACAGCUGUAUGUGAUUUAGAUGCAAGCCACAAUUUUUUGUAUUUCAUUUGUAAUAAACAUUUAUCCUUUUUUUCCCAUUCCACAUCUAUGCGUCUUUGUAUAGGUCUAUACCACUAAAAUACUAAAAUACACUGAAGUCUGUGGUAAUGUGGGUACAUGUGAGAAGUAUGGGAGUACUGAUUCAACUGAUUGUGUGGUACUUGAUAAUUGAUUAUUGUUGGUGAAGGUUUUAUUUUUUUCAUUAUGGCUUCUUUCACAGAAAAAGUUCCAUGAAUUUAUUAAAACGGUAAUUACAUGAAAAAAGCCUGAUGUGUUUUAAACAGGCCAGUGUAUAUGGGCUUGUAAUUAUUUUAUUUUUAAAAGAAGUAAAUGACAUUUUGCUUAACUUUUUAUUUCUUUAAAUGUAAUUUGCUGAUUAAUACAAAUUUUUAUUGGUUUAAUGUCUGAAAAGUCAUGUAUAAAUCCAUUAAGAUAUUAAAAUGUUCUGAUACAUAUUGAAGGCCAAAUGUGCCGUAGACCAUGCAUAAAUAAGGUAAAUAAUUGUUUAUAUAUGUAAUCAUUUAAAAAAGGCCUUGAAUUAAACAAUUAAACAAAACUAUAGCAAU
RNA transcript from Girardinichthys multiradiatus, 2421 nucleotides. It is a transcript of the gene named protein crumbs homolog 3-like, with no coding region annotated. The record is from RefSeq and is a predicted model, not a curated record. NCBI's taxonomy places the organism in Eukaryota, Metazoa, Chordata, Actinopteri, Cyprinodontiformes, Goodeidae. The transcript is spliced from 4 exons.